This 497-nucleotide ribosomal RNA is filed under the name uncultured bacterium. RNAcentral's name for it is "partial 16S ribosomal RNA". It matches the Rfam family "Bacterial small subunit ribosomal RNA", at positions 28 to 507 of the family's 1533-position model. The record is from RNAcentral.
GAUGAACGCUGGCGGCGUGCCUAAUACAUGCAAGUCGAGCGAACAGACGAGGAGCUUGCUCCUCUGACGUUAGCGGCGGACGGGUGAGUAACACGUGGAUAACCUACCUAUAAGACUGGGAUAACUUCGGGAAACCGGAGCUAAUACCGGAUAAUAUAUUGAACCGCAUGGUUCAAUAGUGAAAGACGGUUUUGCUGUCACUUAUAGAUAGAUCCGCGCCGCAUUAGCUAGUUGGUAAGGUAACGGCUCACCAAGGCAACGAUGCGUAGCCGACCUGAGAGGGUGAUCGGCCACACUGGAACUGAGACACGGUCCAGACUCCUACGGGAGGCAGCAGUAGGGAAUCUUCCGCAAUGGGCGAAAGCCUGACGGAGCAACGCCGCGUGAGUGAUGAAGGUCUUCGGAUCGUAAAACUCUGUUAUUAGGGAAGAACAAAUGUGUAAGUAACUAUGCACGUCUUGACGGUACCUAAUCAGAAAGCCACGGCUAACUACGUG